ACAACUGACAGCUAUCCCCACAUUCUCACACGCAUGUGACAAAGAGCCCCCUGGCCUGUGGAGAAGGAGAUCCCUUGUGUGAGGAGGACGACUCCAGCCAGAUCACAGGCAGCAGCUACUCUAAGACCCAGAACUGAAGCCAGGUAGAUGUUACCCACAGGCAGCCAGCUUUCUGCUGCACCUGGAGUCCUUUGCCCUGCAUCUGCCUGAGCAGGAUUAGCUCUGUGGGAAGGGCUUGGAAGAUCCUGCCCUCCACUCCUGGGACUCAAAGGUUGUUAACCCAUCCCUUUCUCCUGGCCAAACCAGCUGUUAGCAAAGCAGACGGGUCAGGGAUCCUGGGUCGCUUGUGACUGUUCAGCAGAAACUUGACUAGCCUUCCCAGGAAGAAGGGCUCAGGUUGAAUUUGGUGAGAAAGUGUGAUGGAAUGACACUGGGGUUCUGAUAAAAGCAACCAGGGGCAGAAUGGGUCCUGAGUCGGGUGGAAUGAAAUAGCCUAGGCUGCCAGGGUUCCCGGAUGGGCUGCUGACCCAGGCCCCCAGGGCCAGCUCCUCCAACCCAGACUGAGACAGUUUCAGACCCUCAGUUCCCUUUAUCCUAAUCACCAUGGGUGGCCAGGGUACCCAUGAGCAGAGUUGAAACUGAGAUUGUCAGCGAACAGAUAUGAUCAGCACACAGGGGGGCAGCAGUGUCUGCACAGGGUUCUCCACCUCCCCUCCCCACCAGGCCCUGUGAGCCAGCAGGAGACUCAUCCCUCAAAAGCCUUUGCCAUGUGGCUAUCACAGUCUCUCCCCUCCCUUCAUGCCCCACCACCACCACCACCACCAAGCACCACCUUUUAGAACUUGCUGCCUCUCCCAAUGGUCUGAGCAGUCUCUGCUCUGCGCCCCUUUCUGCUGGAGAGGCCUCCUCCAGAGCACAGCAAGGACCACUACAACUCCAUUCCCAAGCCAAGCUCUCACAGACCACCAACCCUGCCGGCCCCGCUUGGGACCCCAGGCCUGCCAGAGGGCCUCCUCCCUCUGCCGCAGUCAGCACACUGAAUAUUUAAUGUCUGACGAGCAUUUCCACCUGCUGACACAGGCAAAGUGGCAGAACAAUGCCAACAGGGACAGGGACACCGCCAGCCCCCUGACGGACGGCCUCCCGAGGCCCUGCCUGUGUCCACUGCCCGCCCUGAGCAGCCACCCACAAGGCACGGGCCACCCCUCAGUCUGGCGAGAGAGUUCCUAGCCUGAAAUACAUACUUCUUUACAUUCCAUAGCUUAGCAGGUCCAUAUGGGCAUAUAAAGAAGUAUGUGUCCCAAGCAGGUAGUUCAGGGUGCACAGGGAAGGGGCUCCGAGAAGUGGCCCGACACAAGCUGGGCCCCCUUUGGUGUCUCCCGAGACUCAGUCUCUCCCACACGUGCACACUUGGUAAAGACUGGAAGCAAACAGGGCAUGCUGGGAAGUCUCAACCCCCCCCCCUACUCCCCCACCGUGGUUCAUACCUCCCUCAAUGGAACGAGUUCUCUCCCAUUCUUCCCAAGAGAGGGAAGUCACAUCCCAGACUCCAAGAAAUAGCAUCCAACUCUGCCAACAUCUUCCCUCUCCUUCCUGCCCACCUUGUCACCACCAAGGACAGUGAGGGUGGGGUAAGGAGACAGAAUUCAGGAGCAGCUCCACCCUCGGGCCACCAGGGACCAGCACCCCAGACUAAGAACCAGGCACAUCCUUUUCCUGGGGAGCAAAUAGCCCAGCUCCCUGAGGUCAGAUGAGAGGAAGCAGUUUCGUGAGUCUCCAGAAAUGAAUCAGGGGGCUUACCUGGACAGGCGAUGGCUCCCCUGGCAGGACCCUGAUGAAUUGUUUCCCAAAAUGAGAGUCCCCAAGAGGAGGGCUCAGUGCCUCUUUCUUUGAAGUGAAGGAGAAAGAUGGUGAUCUUGAACACCAUGUCCCCACAGUGUCUAAGGGCUACUAAGAGGUGACCUACUCAUUGGCCAGCUCUUCAGGGCUCAGUCUGGUCUGAGAGUUGAGACCAAGCCAGUGAGGGAGUUUCUAUUCCAGCCACCUCCUUCUUUGGUCCCCUUCUCUCUUCUCUCUUCUCUCCUUUGUACCCUCUGUCCUCCUGGUGACCUACAGUCACCAACGCCAGCCAUCCCCUGCUACGCAGCACAGCCACCUGAGAAGGUCGUAAGGAACCAGUCCAUGAAAAUCUGGAGCUCAUCCCUAAAGGGCCUGUCCCUCACCUGGUUCAACUUCCAUCAGUCCCUAAUUAAUAGCUUGUAGCUAAACAAAGGGGCUGUCCCCCUGGACCUGAAGACCCUUGCUGUACCAACUUCUGAAAAAGGUACAGACUAAUUUGAAAAAAAGUUCGAGGGAAAUGCUUGGGAAACUUAAUUGUAUUUUGUCUCUCCUCUUGAUUUUUUGAGAUCUCUCUGGAAGUAAAGUGGAGGCUCCCUUCUGCCCUACCAACCUCUACACCCAAAGUGAGGUAGAAAGGAAUCUGAAAAACAGAAAGGUGGACAGGAGGGCUUCCAAGUUAGAUUCUCCGUAGUGGAAAGGGAGCUCAUUCUCACACUGAGAGAAAGAAGAAAGAGAAAGGGGUAGUCUGGAGGGAAGCGAGGAAGAGGAGGAAGAGACUCACAUGCUUGGGGGCUCUCCAUCACCCAAGGUGAGCCUGCAGGUAAAGUGCUGGAACCCUGGAACAGGUGUCCCUGCAGGCGGCUACCUACAGAAAGAGCUGAAGACACCCACUGCAGGAGAGCCGGUGCAGAAACAGAGGGUCUGGCUGGGCUUGGACCUGGUGUGGGGCUGCAGGGCAGUCCCAGCUCCUGAAAGAACAUUCAGUUCUCCCGUGUCAGCAGGACAAUGUCUGUCUCUGGCAUGACCUGACCAGCCCUGUCCCUGUGAGGAAACACCCCAGAGAGCAUCCAGACUCUCCCAUUCCUGGGAGGGCCCUGUCUCUGCAGAGCCUGCAGCAUGCAGAGGUCCCCCUGUUGUGGCAGCUGUAGCUGGGCAGGGUGGAGAGAGGAUUAGGGCGCUCAUGCAGCAGGAAUGAGCAAGGGACAGAAACUGUGCCCAUUUCCCAUGUGGUUACUGUUAAAAUUUCAUUUCCACACAGCCAAGGAUAAAAGGAUAAAAGGGGCACUAGUACAUUAGCCUCAGCUUCCAGCUUCUGGGGGUACCCCUGGUGUGGCUGAGCUCCCACUUAGGCUGCCUGAGAACUCUAAGAACAGAUGCCUCGGCCCUCUGUCCCAACUCCCCGGUGUUCCUAUGAUAGCCUCUACAUGUCAAACAGAGAGUUGGGGGGACCCAAAGAGCAGAGGUUGAUUCAGUCUGAACCCACUUCAGGAGCUGCUCAUUCAGAAAUGAACGAGAAUCACUUCUCAAAAAGUUUCCCACCUUGACAGAAAACGGGUUGUCAGCCACCUCCAAGCAGACCCCCAUGGCAAGCAGAGCUGAGGUGGGGCCUUGUCCUGAGCCCCACUCCCAUUGUGAACAGUAGCUCAGCACUAGUCAGCCCCAGCUCCAGCCCCUGGAUGCCUGACACAGCACACAUCUAAUCCUGGUAGGGCUGGGAGAGCUUCAGAAAUCCGGAGUCCCAGCCCAUGACAGCCUUGUCAGCGCUCCUCAGAAAUCCCCCACCCGCAACGCACUCAUAGUGGCAAGUUCCAAGGUAAGUUUAGCCACAAUCUCUGGUGUUGCACUCAACUGGUUAAUCUUUUUCCUCGGCUCCCGUGCCAACCCCCUAGAACAGCGGACGCCAUCCACCCUGCCCUCCACCAAGCAUCCAGGGGCGCUGCUUUCUUGCAAAAAGCCGUAUGUCAAAGUUCUGCAUCCCGGUUGGACGCGCCCUCCCAACCCUCCCAGCCCUGCCGGCUGCUGGCUCUGCAGUUUUCCAAAUGUGGAUGAUGCUGGGAGAAACUCCAGGCGCCCCCUCGGAGCCACGCGGCACCAGCACCCACAGCACCCACCUCACCGGAGGGCACACCCCCACCACUGCCGAUAAGUUUUCAGGGGCUUUCCUAGCUGGUGGGCAGCUGAAGCAGCCAGCUGAGAGGGACUCACCAGGGAGCCCUGGGCGCCCCUCGGGCUGGGCUGGUGACCGCGGCAGCGGUGGCGGCGGGCGCAGGGUCGCGGCUCCCCGGGAGAUGCUGCAGCAGCGGCAGCGGUAGCCACCUCCUCCCGGAGCCAAUCGCAAAUGCAGGGGUGGGGGCGGGCCGGAGCUCCCAUUGCGUCCGCACUUGGUGGGGAGGGGGGGCAGAGAGAGAAAGAAGACACCGCGACUCCGCACCCCUGCCCUUCCCCCAGCCCUCCUGCAGCAGCGCAGACUUAGCAGCAGGGAAAUCUUGAGAGAGAAGGAGGAAGAGGGAGAGGGAAAGAGAGAGAGAAGAGUGAGGGGAGUGGAGGGGUGGGAGAGAGAGAGAGAGAGAGAGAGAGAGAGAGAGAGAGAGAGAGAGAGAGAGAGAGAGAGAGAGAGCCGAUGCAGAGUUAAGGAGGCAGAGCCCAGCUGCACACCUUGCCCGGCCAAAGCUGCAGGAAGCUCCUGCACCCUCCUCAGCCCUGCCGGUACCAGGUAGAGGUCAGAGCAGAACAAAAAGGAAAAAGAGAAAGGCCCCGCGGGAGACAUAGCUGAGUAGCCUGACCUCCCGGGACAACUCACAGACGGUGAGGGGAAGGCACCCCUUCAGCUUCACCCCAAAGCUCUUGGGCACCCAACAGGAAAGGACACUGACAGAGACCAGCCUGCAGAGGCUACAAGAUGGAGAAGAAGCCACAUCAUGCGGAUGAGAGAGCCAAACCACACACAAGAGAAAUGAAGUCACUAUCCAGGCUGGUUGUGACCGGUGUCCCAACCAAGGAAGGAGAAACAGAGAGGAGCAUCUGCACUGCUGGCCGAGCUGCAGGAAACAAGACUGAGGAGACGCUGUUCCCAUCCAACCCCAUAUCUUCACUCCCAACCCUGAGCAGUCCACACCAGUGACGGCCACUGCAGAACAUAAGAAGAUUCUUCAACAGUUAAGAUCUUACUAAGCCCGGGCAACUGCUCUCCUAGGCACAUGUCUGAGAAGUCCCUACAGCAGCAUCCAUGCUAUAAACAGCACAUCCCAGGUGCUAUCCACUAGUGACCAGGGAACCACACAUACACUGAGAGGAUGGUAUAUUAUCUGGUGAUAAAACCCAAAGCACGGCUACAUGCCAUGACUCUUGAAACUAGGAUGUGGAGCCAACAUAAGCGGCCACACACAGAGUGUGCUGGAUGUGAAACUCCCGGAGUAGGAAGAUACAGGAGUGGGCAGGGAGGGGAUGACUCAUGAGAGGCAGGUCUCCUGGAGGUGAUGAGAUGAUCCAGAGGGAGACAGGGAUGACUGAUGCAUGGGUAUUGGGUACCAUGGCCAUUUCCAAGGAUGCUCUCUUCAAAAAAAAAAAAAAAAAAAAAAAAGGUCCCUUCUGUCUUUGUUUUGUUUCAAGACGGUUUCACUUAGCCCAGGGCUACCAGCAAGUUUGCCUGCCAUGUCCCUGAAGAUGACCUUGAACUUUUGACCCUCCUGUCUGGACCCCUAGAGUACUAGGAUUACAGUCCUGUCUAGAGCUGGAACAUGCUGUGAAGUGGACAGAAGAUUGCCCCUGACCCCGCCUUCUCAAGAAUACCCCAGAACCUCAGACCAUGUCUCUCUGUGUGAGGGUCAGUCUUCCUUGUCAGCUUGUUAGAAUCACUGUGGACACACACAUCUGAGCGUGUCAGCAAGGGCAUUUCUGAGGAGGCUUAACUGAGGUAGAAAGACCCAACAUGACAAUGGGCCAAAGCAUCCUGCAGGCUUGAAUGGGACAUGUGCUGAAAAAGAAAGAGUAAGCUAGAAACCAAUGCUCAUCCCUUUCUGCGUUCUGACCUCAGAUGCCGUGUGAUCAACCUACCUUGAGCUUCUCCCACCAUUGCCCAUCACCGUGAUGGACUGCAUCCCCUUAAACUGUAAGUCAACAGAAGCCCUUCCUUAAAUUACUCCUUUCUGGGUAUGUGAUCAUGGUAAUACAGUACCUUGCAUGGCAGACGGGGUUAAUUUAAGGAAUUCUGGGCGGAUCAUCUUGGACACUGGAUCCUUAUAGAGGGAAGGAUAACUAGAGAUUUGGAAGUACCUGUUACUACUGACUUUGGAUGGAGGAAAGGGCCAGGAAUGGAAGGUUAAGUGGUCUAGAAGCUGGAAAUCAACAGGCAUAGACUCGCCUAUAGCUUACAGAGGGAGUCACCUGACAUUGGGCUGCACUUCUAACCUAUUUAAAAAAAAAAUCAUUGAGCACUCAAGGGCUAAAUGUCUGGUUGUGUGUAACAGAAAUGGUAGUACACUCACUCUGCCUUGUGACUUUCCAAGAAACCCUCCCAGUGAGUAGAGUCCACAAGGGCCCACCCUGAGACUCCCUGUGGCCUGCACAAAUGGUAGAAUCAACUUCCAUGUGUUCUUGGGCCCUCACCAGCAAUACCCAGCAUGCUCUACGCUGAAUUCCAAGGGAGCCAGGCAGGAAGGUGUGUGAGGAAAUGGUCCCUGGGCGGGGGUGGGGAGGACACUGGCCAAGGGGAAGGAACAACUUGGUGGAUACUCCUGCCCAUAUCCUAUAGCUAUGCCCAUGGACCAACUCUCUGUGCUGUCCCAGCCUGGGCCUGGCAUGACUUGGGUAUGGCUACUGGCUCCAUAGGCAACAAAGCCAGUGAGAAGAUACCCUGGGCUUCAUGCAAAUCCGUGAUGUCUCUCUGCCAGUGUCUACACUACACAUAUGCAGUUCUGUCCAGGAUGGACAGCUGGUCAUUAAAAGCCAGGAAUUAAAGCAGGUAUAUCAGGGUCCUAAUGUUACUGCUAAAAUUGGUGUCCCUGGUGCGUAUCCAUUCAGCAUGCCAAACUUCACAGAGCUCUUAUGAGUCCCAACAGAAGAUGGAGCCUGCAGAAUUGCCCUGUGUCAGCUAACCACCACGCUGGCAUUUGUGGUGUACACUCAUGCCAUGAAGCAACUGUAGUGGGGAAGGCUUGUGCAUGCCAGUGUGGCCUGUGGAGCAGUGGCGAGAGGAUUGCAUAUGAACGUGAGGCGUCUUCACCAUGCUACAGGAGCGCACAGCCCCCACUGCACCUGGGAGGCUGCCACUGCCAGACCUGGAAUACCCACAGGCAUCAACACACACGCGCGCGCACACACACACACACUCCCUUAACGGCAGAGGGAAAACCUCCCUGGCAGCUCGUAAAGAAAGGCAUAUUUCACUGCCUCAGUGUCAGCAGAGAGCAAUCCGUCUCCUGCGAUGGAUGCGCCACUCAGUAUGGUGACAGCUCACCCCUCAGCAGAUGCAGGAUGCUUCAGGACACCCAGUCCAAGGGAUAACAAUUUAGCCUCCUGCCACACCUCAGCAGCUCCAGGUCAGCAUUCAGAACCUCUAGAGAAGGAGCUGCAGGCUAGGUAGAGGCUAGGAUCUAGAUUGACCCUGUGAGUCUGGAGCCAGGCAGAUCUCCAAAACCUCCCACUCCCCAGCCCCACCAGCUAUAUGGUGGGGCUCAAAAUCAGCUUUUCCAUAAGCUACUAAAAGCCUCCUGUGAAGGGCAUACCACCAUCCUGGAAGAAGACCUUAGGCAAUGGGUAAGCCAGGCUUCAAAGCACCCCGGAGCCACAGUCUCUCCUAUUUUGGAGGAAUGGAAACAGGGUUGAGAUCAAUGUUGGGGAUGAAAAGGGAGUUCCCUCCCUGUGGCCCCCAUCCUAUUAUCUGUCAUCCUGGAGGACAGUCAGAUGGCACAUUGAUUUCUACUCACCACAGCAUGACUCUACCGGCAAUGAAAGACACAAGGGCAGGAAGGAUUGCUGGUGAGCUCCUUAUCUCAAGUG
RNAcentral lists this small RNA (7836 nucleotides) under Rattus norvegicus (Norway rat). Its description in RNAcentral is "uncharacterized LOC102552888". The stretch from base 1230 to 1306 matches the Rfam family "mir-1 microRNA precursor family". The record is from RNAcentral. Lineage: Eukaryota; Metazoa; Chordata; Mammalia; Rodentia; Muridae.